GGGGAUUUAGCUCAGUGGUGGCACACUUGCCUUGCAAGCAAGCACAAGGUCCUGAGUUCAAUUCCCAGUACCCCCC
This 76-nucleotide transfer RNA is filed under the name Fukomys damarensis (Damara mole-rat). It matches the Rfam family "tRNA". From Rfam's summary of the family: Transfer RNA (tRNA) molecules are approximately 80 nucleotides in length. Their secondary structure includes four short double-helical elements and three loops (D, anti-codon, and T loops). Lineage: Eukaryota; Metazoa; Chordata; Mammalia; Rodentia; Bathyergidae. The record is from Rfam by way of RNAcentral.